UUGGAGUAAGCACAAGGAAGGAGAGAGCACUCUCGGCUUUGAUAUAACAGAAAACUACAGUAUUUCUUGAUGCUUAUUACAUUGGAAAGAGGCCUUAUUUAUACUAAAUUCUAAGAGCAUUUUGUCCAAAUUUUAAAAAAAAAACAUUGAAUCUAAAUGGGAGUUAUAUGGAAUCCAUUAUUAGGGAGUUAUAUAUGAAACUGGAUUUGAUUGUGACUCAAUAAUAUGCAGGAGAGUUAUGAAGAUAAUAGAGGUUAUAUAUAGAGACGAAGCUUUUAAAUUUCAUUUCACUUUUGCUGGAAAUUUAAGAGGAAACUUACAUGCAAUUCUUUAUACGUACAUCUGUUACAUGAUCUGUUGUCAAGUUGAAAAGAGCAUCUAUGAUAUUUUUAGACAUGUACAAUAUAUUGCAUUUCUUUAGUCUUGUCCAAUAUAUGUGUGUGUGUGUAUCAAAUGCUUAGAUAUAAAUAUAUAUAUAUAUAUAUAUAUAUCUUUUUGUCUCACGUGAAACCCUCUUUCUUGUCUAUAUAGCUCUAUGGACCAUUAAUUUUAAUGACAUAUUUGUCCUUUCAUAAAACAAAUUACAUAUUAUAUCAUCAAUAUAUGUAUUCACUCACAGAUCAGACACGCGCACACACAAGAUAACUUGUCUUUCAUUUACUACUAUAUAUAUCCAAGCAAAUUAAGAGUAUAACAUGUUUAUUUUGUUCUUUCCAAAUGGAUAUGGAAGCAGACGAGCAUGGAUGGAAGCUAGUUCCACAGAUUUAGAUGGAAUCAGACCACCAGAUAUUUUAUCAUCUUCUCAGCAAAGAACUGAGAAAUCCGAGGGAAAUAAUAAUUUGUUACAGUCAAGAAGCUUAAAGGAGUAUGAGAAUUUAAGCUUGGAGUUCACUCUAGGGAGAUCAACGUGGGAAAGCAACGAACAUGCCUAGUUAAAGUUUGGCACGUCGUGAUUCUUGAAAUAGAUCUUCAAAGACGGAGAAGACCAAGUAGAGAUCUAAUGCACAGAUAAUAUAUAUAUAUAUAUAUAUAUAGCUAGGGUACUGCUCUAUAUUGUUAAGGUCACUUUCUACUAAGCUUAAAAAAGCAUCUUUGUAUAUUCUUUUAUUGAGCCAAAGCUAGGUUAUUCACUUGGUUUCUAACUUUUAAGGUGAUGUUAGUCAUUACAAAAACUAUCAUGAUUAUAAAGAAAAAGAUCAAGAUCAGAGAGAAAAAGAAGGAGAAUCAGAUCAAUGAUGUAUUUUAUUUUCUUACCACUUUCUUUCUUUUUCAUGUCUUUUCUCUCCUUUUUCUUAGGUUCCUACCGAUUCCUGUAGCAAUAAACAAUUUUACAUAUAUAUAUAUAUAUAUCUUGAGUGAUCA
Molecule: long non-coding RNA, 1362 nt
Organism: Prosopis cineraria
Lineage: Eukaryota; Viridiplantae; Streptophyta; Magnoliopsida; Fabales; Fabaceae
Exons: 2
Source: RefSeq, a predicted model, not a curated record